ACGAAAAUUCCAAUGCCUCCAUCCAAAUGGCAUGGUUGAAGGUAUGAAACCUAGUUUUCAUCACCAACAAACUAUUAGAAACAAAAUCAUUCGUGUCUUCACUCUUCUUUCCUUCUCCGUUGAUUAAUGUGUGUGUAUGUAUAUUAUAUAUCUAUAUAUAUUGACGACCUCUGUGGAUAAAAUUACAUUUUGAUAUCAAAAUGUGCUUCGAUUUGCCGUACAAAUUGAAGAAAGGAAAACUCGUAUUUGUGAGGAAAAAUGAUGGCGAAGAUAGUGAAGAAAUAGGGCUAUUGGUGAAGGAGAUUGAGAAAUGGAACAACAAAAAACCAGUAGGAGUCACACAAGGAGAAGCUCGUAAUGAUGAUCUGUAUUCCUCCAAUCACAAAUCUUGACAAUAAUUUUUGUUGUUUGGUGAUAGUUCCGCUUCAUCAGUUUUGUCGGCGUCGGCAUAAAGGAGGAUCUCGAGAAGCUGCAGAGCGACUACGGGAUCGGCGGCGGCGCGCUACGUGGACUGGCAGCGGAGGCGUAUGGCAUGGAGGAGCUGGA
Molecule: long non-coding RNA, 546 nt
Organism: Salvia miltiorrhiza (redroot sage)
Lineage: Eukaryota; Viridiplantae; Streptophyta; Magnoliopsida; Lamiales; Lamiaceae
Exons: 2
Source: RefSeq, a predicted model, not a curated record